UUGAUGUUUUAUAUUAUAUGAAAGUGAGUGUUACGAGUUUCUGAAUAUGAGAGGUAAAUACAAAAUUCUAGUAAGAGUAGUGAAGAUAAAAAUGAUGAAAAACAAUAAACUACGUGCGCUGAUAUAUUUCCUUUUUCCCAAGAUCUCGACCAUGGCUACCUUUUGUUGAAGAUGGCAACAUGGCGGCAAAGAUCUCGACUAUGGAGUCCACUUCGGUGAGAUUGGAGAUGGCAGCGAUCAUGUAGCAUAGAUCGACCUUGGAGGAUUUGCAACCAUGGACAACGCUAACCAGUGCCUGGGGAAGAGAAAGGUGAGAAAGGGAAGUGGAGGGGAAGAAGAGAGAAAGAGAACUUGGAUAGGGGAGGUUCUCUAAGUUUGGGGAUUGGGAUUGGCAGAAGAGGAAAGAGUGAGAUUGGGAACGAGAAUGAGAACUAAUUGGUUUCUAUUUAAAAAAAAAAAAAAACACUUCAAUAAUAGCA
RNAcentral lists this long non-coding RNA (479 nucleotides) under Glycine max (soybean). RNAcentral describes it as "long non-coding RNA (GMAX_LNC000874)". Lineage: Eukaryota; Viridiplantae; Streptophyta; Magnoliopsida; Fabales; Fabaceae. The record is from RNAcentral.